This 243-nucleotide long non-coding RNA is filed under the name Cavia porcellus (domestic guinea pig). Its description in RNAcentral is "lncRNA (ENSCPOG00000036037.1)". The record is from RNAcentral. Lineage: Eukaryota; Metazoa; Chordata; Mammalia; Rodentia; Caviidae.
CCGACCCUGAGGUGCUGUGACUCAGUGGAAGCUGUGGCUUUGGUCAUGGUCUCACCCAGGCCCUGGCUGGGUUUCGUCAUUUAUGUCUUACAGGGCCGCUCUUCAGGGAAGCCAGGAAGGAUGCUGUGUCAUGCUGGAGGCCCAGCUGGCAGAAUCCAGCAACAGCCAUCCGGCUUCAGCUGGAAGCAUUAAUUAGGGAAGAGAAAUUUUUGUUUUUAACACCCGCAAGGAUGCCUGUCCCAG